This 4903-nucleotide unclassified non-coding RNA is filed under the name Anthonomus grandis grandis. RNAcentral's name for it is "uncharacterized LOC126743895". The record is from RNAcentral. Lineage: Eukaryota; Metazoa; Arthropoda; Insecta; Coleoptera; Curculionidae.
CGACAGUUCUUGUUAGAAACCCGUUCGGACGUGUUACAGUUUAAUUCAUUUUAGUUUGUUGUGUUUUGUAUUAAAUUUUAAAGAAAUUGGUGAAUUUUGUGUGCGAAAAAGUAUAAAAUAUCGUGUUCAAAUGUCCAGUGCAACAUUAAGUCGAUGAAUUAACUGCUGAAAAAAAAUCCAACUUCUCUUGGACAUACAACUGGAUGGUCUAGCUUCUAAUACUCACCAGAAUGACCCACCAAAGAAGCUACAUGCUCCAAAGAUUCCUGGAGUCUCAGUCGGGAAAGUUUAAGUUAGAAGAUUACAUUCCUCCAAAUAAACAGCAGAAAAAUCGUUUACCGGAAAAACCCGCCUGGUCCUCCGAGGAAGACGAAGCAAAUUUAGAAAACGACUUUUUGCCUAAAAAAACAUCACAACACCGUAUUGAUGAUGUUGAUGAUGACGAUUUAGGUCAAGAAACUGGCCUUAGAAGACGAUCAAUUUCAUGGAGUUCAAAAACGUGUCACGUAUCUAUUGUUGAACUUGAAGAGAAUCAGGAGGGACUCAAGGAGAGUACUAAAACGGAAAAGUAUAUGUGCAAAUAUGACCGUUUAUUAGAAGGCACUAAUAUUUCACAAGAAGAUAAGGGAACGAAAAUUGAUAAUUCACGUAAAAGUCGUCAGUCGAGAAUCGAUGAAUUUUUCAAGUCAAGCAGGCCAAUAACCAAACGGCGCAGGAAGGAGUUGAAAUUGACUCCUGAGAAGCCAGUUCAAUAUCCAUGGGAAAUAACCCGAAAAAGCACACAACAAGACAAACACAACAAUUUAAAUAAAAAAUCAGAAACAAUAGUAAGACCACAGCAAGAACCCUCAUUUCAGCAUAUCACUUGGACGAAAAAACGAUUUCAGCAAAGGACCAUUAGUAGCAGCAGCAGUGAUAGCAGCUCAGACCAAAUGCCAAAAAAAAGAGCAUGCUUGCCUCAAUCAUCAAGAAUCCAUAAACUAGAUGAACUUGAGGAGAAGCCUGUCUGUCCCAAGAAAAAUUCCUUGCUUCACGAAAAUAGGUUUCCAAGAACCCAAGCAGGAGAAAUUAAGGCGCAUCACAGGCGCUCAAGAACCGACUUGUCAAAUCAAUGUAUUCAAGAUAACUGGUUGAAGCAUGCUGGCUCUCAAAAGCUGGACCAAAAAAGGUUAAUCGCACCAACUAAAUCUUCAUCGCUCGAAGAAAUUUUGGCAAAGAACGGUCGUUUUAAUCAAUCGCCCUUUUCGAGCGAAGGUUUUCACGAAAUAUUAUCCCCCAAAGUACAAAACAUCGACUUCAAGGUUAACAAAUUUGGCACAAAAUUCAACAUUCCCAAAACCGCUUUGAAACCAUCCGAGAACUGUAGAUCUGUGGGCACUCAAACCUCGUUCAACCAUGAACCCGUGCCAAUCAUCAUACCAGAUAAUCAUACCAGUUAUACGAAAUAUGAACCAUUUAAUGAGACCGAUGAUGGCGCGUUACUGAAACAGUUGGGACUUAACGAUAAAGUUUUUUCUGGUUCUUUUCAGAACCUUUUGGAUGCGAGUCAACGAUCCGGUAAAACUCAAGAGACUCCUAAAAGUGAGAAGGUUUUAAAUAGUGAGGGUUCAUGCUUUAAGUUGCCUUAUAGUGAAAGUAUGAAGACGGACAUAAAAGGAGAUAUGAGCUGCCAAUCUUCCUGUAUGAAAACCUGCGAUUCCGCUGAAAUAAAGACCCCAAAACCUGAUGAGAAGAGUGACUCUAAAAAAAAAAUUCAUAUCAUUAGUGACUUUACGACUACCAUUAGCAACUUUCCCAAUAUAUUUGCCAUGUUUCAAGCGCCCGAUAUUUCUACCAGCGAACCGAUUAUCAAUGAAACAGCCCGGUCGGUUACCACGAAACCUGAUGAUGAUAAAACGCCUGCCGAAACCGAGGACAUAGACGAGGAAUUCGCCUUUACUCAAUCGCAAUUGAUAGUUAAAGAACCAGAAAGUAAUAUUUUACACGGGGCUAAUUUAUUGAAAGAACUAUUGCAAGAAAAAGCCGGCAUCGAGAGAAAAUUGGUUAAGAAUAAAUUGAAAUAUCAAUUCAAAAAAGAGGAUGAAAAAAAGGGGGUGCUGGCACAGACUUAUAUGAAAAAGUACAAAAAGGGCGAUUUAAAGAUAUAUAAGUUGAGUAAGAGAUUUGAAAAGCGAGAAAAGAGAUAUGUGCCUCCGGAGGAGCAAAUCAUGGAGAAUUUCAUGAAAAAAAUGGAGAGGGGGUUUGACGAUUGCUCGUCUGUUGAUAGCAACGAUAGAGCGGCGAGUGUUUCCACCCCUUUGUCUUAUGAAACAGACGAUACAAGAUCGGAAGUCCUCUCGACAGGCUCCUUAACACUCACUGACCCCCAAAAAUUACUACGCGAAGGCAUCAAUCGACUAUCAAAGGACGACUCUUUAUUGUUCUCCCGUUGGUCCGAUGAGGACACCGAACCUUUCAACAGACUGAAAAUCCUCAUAGAUGUUCAAGAAUUUAUUUGUCAACUUUUAGAGGACUACCAGAACGGACUGCGUCUCGCAUUUACGUACCCGAAAGUAAGGGGCAAUGUGAUGUUCGAAAAUAACAGAUAUAAAGUGAAAGAUAAGCAUAACGUCAUUUCGGUUAGCCGUAAUACCUUAAAGGCCCAAUGCAGAUUUAAUAUCUAUUUGUUUACUUUAAAUAAAGUUCGGAUGCUGCUGGAGACAAACACUAAGAUUUCCAAAAGGGAGCUAUAUUAUUUAUUAAAAAGUAAUAUUCCAAUAAAAUGCCAGUCCACUACAGAUUCCGUCGUUUAUUGUAUAUCCAGGAUGUUUAACGUAGGUGUAUGGGCGUUAAACAUAACGGCUCAGAAAGGAUUGGUUUAUGGCAAUUUGAAACUUGUCAUGGAAAAUGGGGAAACCCUUAACUGUAACGUGCCAACAGGUACCCUAAUACCUCACAGUCUGGAAGACAUUUGCGAGAUCCAGUCAGACGCCUAUUUCAUUAUUGUUGUGGAAAAGGAGGCGAUUUUUUAUAAGUUACUUGAGGAAAAUUUACCCAAGAGACUGACUAGACCAUUUAUCCUUGCCACUGGUAAAGGAUAUGCAGACCUGAAUACCCAAUUGUUUUUAAAGAAAUUAUGGAUGGUGCUGACGAUUCCGGUGUUUAUAUUAGUGGAUGCCGAUCCAGACGGGAUUUCUAUAAUGUUAAAUUACAGAUUUGGAUCUUUGUUUCAUCUAACUCAGUGAUUUAAUUAUAUAUUUUUAACAUAAACGACGUGCAAUGCCACCUCUAACUAAGCGAAUUUUCCAAUCAUUGGCGGACCUCUAUGCUGUCUGCACGCCUCCCUAUCAAACCUGCCUGACCUUACUCAAAAGUGCUAGCGAUGACAUUGUCACGGGUGGCUAGAUGCACUUAACCAAAAUAUGUCCAUUGUUAGUGCAAUUUCAAAGAGCGUUAAAAGUAAUGAACUGUUGAAAUCACCUAAAAAGAAGCGAUCUUAUGUUAAUUUUUGAUACGGGGGCAACUCGUGAGACUGUUUAUGAAAUGUACGAAAUUAAGCAAAAUAUGACUUUGGCAACGUUAUAUGUAAUACUAAGGGAAAAGCCACUAUUUGAAGGUUGUAAAACAUCUUUACGAAGUUUGAUAACGGAAAUAGGCUUUCGAUAAAAAAAAGACAAACCAAGGAGGAGUCUUAUGAAACUUUCCCACAAGGCUUUCAAACGAAUUGUUUUUUUUAAGCAUAUAUGAGAGAGAAAAAAGAAUAAAUUUAUCAUUUUGUUUAUCUUGAUGAAACUUGGAUUUUCCAAAAUGGUACUGUAAGUUGCUCUUGCCAGAAUAACAAAAGAAGUGUGAAAUCCACAAAAGUGGUUGGCAAAAGAUACAUAAUACUUCAUGCUGGUAAUGAACACAGAUUCAUUGAGGGUGCUGGACUAUUUUUUCUUCAAAAACUCAAUUAACUGAUUACCAUGUAGAAAUGAAUCAGCAAAACUUCCUAAAUUGGUUCGAAAAUCAAUUAUUAAAGAAUCUUACCCAAUCUUCAGUAACUGUGACGGAUAAUGCACCAUAUCACAGCAUGCUGUUAGAAAAAACACCAAAUUCUUCAUGGAAUAAGUCUUCCAUUUAAGAAUAGUUAAUCAAUAAUGAAAUUAAAUUUAAUCACCCAUAGACACAAACCAUCAAUGAAAUAUAUUGUAGAUGACAUGGCUAAUAAAUAUGGGCAUAAAGUCUUACGAUUGCCUCCAUGCCAUUGUGUGUUCAAUCCAAUCGAGCUUAUUUGGAGGAUUGCAAAGAAUUACUAUAACAGGCAUAUUGGUCGAGAUGAUGUUACAGAGAUUACUUGUUUGAAUGUGUGGAAGGAAUCACUUGGCACUGUUAUCCAGAAACAUGGAAUAACUCAGUAAGACAUACGGAAGAAGAAAUAAGAAAAUGGUACGAAAGAAAACAUGUAUAGGCUGAAUAUUUAACCGCUUAUUAUUAAUUUAGAUGAUAGUGAUUCUGAAAAUGAUUCAAAUUGCCAAGUGCUUUUUUUGGUCAAAAUAUUUAUAUUACUCUGUAUCGUCUGACCAUGGUCAGAAUAAUAGUUCUAAUAAUACAUUUCUUCGUUAAAAUAAAUUCAAAUAUAAUCAAACAUUUUAAAUGUAUGCCCCAAAAAUAUAUGAUAUUGAUUUAGUCAUUAUUUUCAUCAGUAAAUACAUAAAAGAAACCAAACCACGGCAUUUUGUAAAUUAUUAAUAAUAUGCUAUUUUUAUUAAUUUUUGUCUCCAUUCCAUGUCACUCAAGGGAUGUGACGUAAAUUGGAAAUUGUUUAGAUUUUUCUAUAUGUAUUAGGCGGGAUGAUCUUAUUACGGGGUUAUAACUUUCUGCGAACAAUAGCAUUUAUGUUCAGGGUCACUCUAAAAAUAUUAAAGUUAAUUUUCGUACCUUC